This 415-nucleotide ribosomal RNA is filed under the name uncultured bacterium. Its description in RNAcentral is "bacterial SSU rRNA". It matches the Rfam family "Bacterial small subunit ribosomal RNA", at positions 355 to 786 of the family's 1533-position model. The record is from RNAcentral.
UCGGGAAUAUUGCGCAAUGGAGGAAACUCUGACGCAGUGACGCCGCGUAUAGGAAGAAGGUUUUCGGAUUGUAAACUAUUGUCGUUAGGGAAGAGAAAGGACAGUACCUAAGGAGGAAGCUCCGGCUAACUACGUGCCAGCAGCCGCGGUAAUACGUAGGGAGCGAGCGUUAUCCGGAAUUAUUGGGUGUAAAGGGUGCGUAGACGGGAGAACAAGUUAGUUGUGAAAUACCUCGGCUCAACUGAGGAACUGCAACUAAAACUGUACUUCUUGAGUGCAGGAGAGGUAAGUGGAAUUCCUAGUGUAGCGGUGAAAUGCGUAGAUAUUAGGAGGAACACCAGUGGCGAAGGCGACUUACUGGACUGUAACUGACGUUGAGGCUCGAAAGCGUGGGGAGCAAACAGGAUUAGAUACC